AACGUAGGAGGCAAGCGUUAUCCGGAGUUACUGGGCGUAAAGCGCAUGUAGGCGGUUGGACAAGUUGGGUGUGAAAGCUCCCGGCUAAACUGGGAGAGGACAUUCAAGACUGUUCGACUAGAGGAUGGUAGAGGGGCGUAGAAUUCCGGGUGUAGCGGUGAAAUGUGUAGAGAUCCGGAGGAAUACCAGUGGUGAAGACGACGCCCUGGGCCAUUACUGACGCUGAGAUGCGAAAGCGUGGGGAGCGAACGGG
RNAcentral lists this ribosomal RNA (253 nucleotides) under uncultured bacterium. RNAcentral's name for it is "partial 16S ribosomal RNA". It matches the Rfam family "Bacterial small subunit ribosomal RNA", at positions 524 to 776 of the family's 1533-position model. The record is from RNAcentral.